This 797-nucleotide ribosomal RNA is filed under the name uncultured bacterium. Its description in RNAcentral is "bacterial SSU rRNA". It matches the Rfam family "Bacterial small subunit ribosomal RNA", at positions 8 to 796 of the family's 1533-position model. The record is from RNAcentral.
AGAGUUUGAUCAUGGCUCAGGAUGAACGCUAGCGGCAGGCUUAAUACAUGCAAGUCGAGGGGCAGCAUGGGUGUAGCAAUACAUCUGAUGGCGACCGGCAAACGGGUGCGGAACACGUACAGAACCUUCCUUCGAGCGGGGGAUAGCCCAGAGAAAUUUGGAUUAAUACCCCAUAGUAUAUUGAAGAGGCAUCUCUUUAAUAUUAAAGAUUUAUCACUUGAAGAUGGCUGUGCGGCUGAUUAGGUAGUUGGCGGGGUAAUGGCCCACCAAGCCUGCGAUCAGUAACUGGUGUGAGAGCACGACCAGUCACACGGGCACUGAGACACGGGCCCGACUCCUACGGGAGGCAGCAGUAAGGAAUAUUGGGCAAUGGAGGCAACUCUGACCCAGCCAUGCCGCGUGGAGGAUGAAGGCCCUCUGGGUUGUAAACUUCUUUUAUAUGGGACGAAAAAGGGCUUUUCUAAGUCAACUGACGGUACCAUAUGAAUAAGCACCGGCUAACUCCGUGCCAGCAGCCGCGGUAAUACGGAGGGUGCAAGCGUUAUCCGGAUUCACUGGGUUUAAAGGGUGCGUAGGUGGGUUGGUAAGUCAGUGGUGAAAUCUCCGGGCUUAACCCGGAAACUGCCAUUGAUACUAUCAGUCUUGAAUAUUGUGGAGGUCAGCGGAAUAUGUCAUGUAGCGGUGAAAUGCUUAGAUAUGACAUAGAACACCAAUUGCGAAGGCAGCUGGCUACUCAUAUAUUGACACUGAGGCACGAAAGCGUGGGGAUCAAACAGGAUUAGAUACCCUAGUAGUCC